Molecule: ribosomal RNA, 1449 nt
Filed under: Salmonella enterica subsp. enterica serovar Adjame
Lineage: Bacteria; Pseudomonadati; Pseudomonadota; Gammaproteobacteria; Enterobacterales; Enterobacteriaceae
Description: partial 23S ribosomal RNA
Rfam family: Bacterial large subunit ribosomal RNA
Source: RNAcentral
AGACCCGAAACCCGGUGAUCUAGCCAUGGGCAGGUUGAAGGUUGGGUAACACUAACUGGAGGACCGAACCGACUAAUGUUGAAAAAUUAGCGGAUGACCUGUGGCUGGGGGUGAAAGGCCAAUCAAACCGGGAGAUAGCUGGUUCUCCCCGAAAGCUAUUUAGGUAGCGCCUCGUGAAUUCAUCUCCGGGGGUAGAGCACUGUUUCGGCUAGGGGGCCAUCCCGGCUUACCAACCCGAUGCAAACUGCGAAUACCGGAGAAUGUUAUCACGGGAGACACACGGCGGGUGCUAACGUCCGUCGUGAAGAGGGAAACAACCCAGACCGCCAGCUAAGGUCCCAAAGUCAUGGUUAAGUGGGAAACGAUGUGGGAAGGCCCAGACAGCCAGGAUGUUGGCUUAGAAGCAGCCAUCAUUUAAAGAAAGCGUAAUAGCUCACUGGUCGAGUCGGCCUGCGCGGAAGAUGUAACGGGGCUAAACCAUGCACCGAAGCUGCGGCAGCGACACUGUGUGUUGUUGGGUAGGGGAGCGUUCUGUAAGCCUGCGAAGGUGGCCUGUGAGGGUUGCUGGAGGUAUCAGAAGUGCGAAUGCUGACAUAAGUAACGAUAAAGCGGGUGAAAAGCCCGCUCGCCGGAAGACCAAGGGUUCCUGUCCAACGUUAAUCGGGGCAGGGUGAGUCGACCCCUAAGGCGAGGCCGAAAGGCGUAGUCGAUGGGAAACGGGUUAAUAUUCCCGUACUUGGUGUUACUGCGAAGGGGGGACGGAGAAGGCUAUGUUGGCCGGGCGACGGUUGUCCCGGUUUAAGCGUGUAGGUGUGUGUUCCAGGUAAAUCCGGUUCACUUUAACACUGAGGCGUGACGACGAGGCACUACGGUGCUGAAGCAACAAAUGCCCUGCUUCCAGGAAAAGCCUCUAAGCAUCAGGUAACAUCAAAUCGUACCCCAAACCGACACAGGUGGUCAGGUAGAGAAUACCAAGGCGCUUGAGAGAACUCGGGUGAAGGAACUAGGCAAAAUGGUGCCGUAACUUCGGGAGAAGGCACGCUGACACGUAGGUGAAGUGAUUUACUCAUGGAGCUGAAGUCAGUCGAAGAUACCAGCUGGCUGCAACUGUUUAUUAAAAACACAGCACUGUGCAAACACGAAAGUGGACGUAUACGGUGUGACGCCUGCCCGGUGCCGGAAGGUUAAUUGAUGGGGUCAGCGCAAGCGAAGCUCCUGAUCGAAGCCCCGGUAAACGGCGGCCGUAACUAUAACGGUCCUAAGGUAGCGAAAUUCCUUGUCGGGUAAGUUCCGACCUGCACGAAUGGCGUAAUGAUGGCCAGGCUGUCUCCACCCGAGACUCAGUGAAAUUGAACUCGCUGUGAAGAUGCAGUGUACCCGCGGCAAGACGGAAAGACCCCGUGAACCUUUACUAUAGCUUGACACUGAACAUUGAGCCUUGAUGUGUAG